Molecule: ribosomal RNA, 486 nt
Filed under: uncultured bacterium
Lineage: Bacteria
Description: bacterial SSU rRNA
Rfam family: Bacterial small subunit ribosomal RNA
Source: RNAcentral
GACGAACGCUGGCGGCGUGCCUAACACAUGCAAGUCGCACGAGUCCACUCCUUCGGGAGUGAGGCGAGUGGCGGACGGGUGAGUAACACGUGAGCAAUCUGUCCCGCUGCGGGGGAUAACCCGGGGAAACUCGGGCUAAUACCGCAUGGUCGGCUUCCAGGAUCUGGGAGCCGGGAAAGGUGGCCUCUUUACAAUGCUACCGUGACGGGAGGAGCUCGCGGGCUAUCAGCUAGUUGGUGCGGUCACGGCGCACCAAGGCAACGACGGCUACGGGGUCUGAGAGGACGAUCAGCCACACUGGGACUGAGACACGGCCCAGACUCCUACGGGAGGCAGCAGUGGGAAAUCUUGCGCAAUGCGCGAAAGCGUGACGCAGCAACGCCGCGUGGGGGAAGAAGGUUUUCGGGUUGUAAACCCCUUUNAGGAGGGACGAAGCCUGGUCGGUGAAUAGCCGAGCCAGGUGACGGUACCUCCAGAAGAAGCCCC